AGCCACAUCACGUUGAAACACCACUUCCUGUACGAUCACCGAAGUUAAGCAAGAUCAAGCCUUGUUAGUACCUAGAUGGGUGAUCGCUCAGGAAUACGAGGUGCUGGAA
Molecule: non-coding RNA, 109 nt
Organism: Acanthosepion pharaonis
Lineage: Eukaryota; Metazoa; Mollusca; Cephalopoda; Sepiida; Sepiidae
Source: the annotation of a GenBank genome assembly